GCCUGGGUGGCUCAGUCAGUUAAGCGUCUGACUUCGGCUCAGGUCAUGAUCUCUUGGUUUGCGGGUUCGAGCCCCGCAUCAGGCU
This 85-nucleotide transfer RNA is filed under the name Felis catus (domestic cat). It matches the Rfam family "tRNA". From Rfam's summary of the family: Transfer RNA (tRNA) molecules are approximately 80 nucleotides in length. Their secondary structure includes four short double-helical elements and three loops (D, anti-codon, and T loops). Further hydrogen bonds mediate the characteristic L-shaped molecular structure. tRNAs have two regions of fundamental functional importance: the anti-codon, which is responsible for specific mRNA codon recognition, and the 3' end, to which the tRNAs corresponding amino acid is attached (by aminoacyl-tRNA synthetases). tRNAs cope with the degeneracy of the genetic code in two manners: having more than one tRNA (with a specific anti-codon) for a particular amino acid; and 'wobble' base-pairing, i.e. permitting non-standard base-pairing at the 3rd anti-codon position. The record is from Rfam by way of RNAcentral. Lineage: Eukaryota; Metazoa; Chordata; Mammalia; Carnivora; Felidae.